RNAcentral lists this long non-coding RNA (526 nucleotides) under Cavia porcellus (domestic guinea pig). Its description in RNAcentral is "lncRNA (ENSCPOG00000031201.1)". Lineage: Eukaryota; Metazoa; Chordata; Mammalia; Rodentia; Caviidae. The record is from RNAcentral.
GGCAGGCAGAGCUUUUUUGGUUCAAAAGACAAACAUCAUAAUUACAUUCAAAAUAUUUAGUAGUCAAUCAGAGAGAUUGCCACAUAUAAACAUGGGGUGGAGUGCAUAGAAUCUGCUUGACAAGGUCCAGCUUCCCUCACUGGAGAACACUCAUGUCUCACUUCCCCAAGGGCUGAAUGGUCAGAGAACAGGCAGGAAGGAGCCAGAUUAUCAAAAUGUCACCAGACCACUAUUUCUCCACGUCUUCCGCAAGCAUUCUCAGCACAACCCUCCUGACCAGAGGCCUGGACCACAACUGACCAUCAGUAUCCUCUUCACCACUGACCUCCAACCUGGACGGCAAUGAGGACAAAUGUUAGUACCUGGGCUCCCUGAGCAGUGACACUGAGGCCCACACGAGCCUUCAGGGUAGCUACGGGAGCACAGUGAGUCAAGAGCUGACAGCAGCAUCGCAGCAGCAGGCCUGAAGAGGACUAAAGAGGAGCCUCCUGCACUCACUGCUGAAUGCUAAGCCCCAGGGCAGGGU